UACAAAGCCUAGGAAGAUAAUUUGUUGCUGGUGCUGAUAGCAUCUGUUUAUUCUAAUGCACCAGUCAGUCUGUGCUCGCCUGCAAGGGGAGAAAAUGACCUUCAGUGGAAUCACAAACUGAACUCUGGAUCAGCAUCUCCCUCGGCAGCUGACUGCUGGGAAUCUGCAGUCCCUGUUUUCAGGAAGGCAGCAGCCAAACCAGUGCAGAGCAGGGCUGCCACCAGGGAGGCAGAAUGCAACCUAGAGCUUUUUCAAGAAGCCACAGGCAGUGGGCAGUGCUGGGGACAACCUACUCUCCCUUCUGGAGCUCCAACUGGAUCACGGGAACCAGGUUUUAAAGGCACUGUGCUGGCUGGGAUCUGCAUUCUGUCCCUGCUUCCACAAGGAAUAUGAGGAAGACUGAGCAGCACCAUCACAGCCUGUUUCUCUUCAGCAUAAGGGUGACCAGUGUCCCACCUUGCCUUGGAGGUCAAUGGAAGUUCACUUGUCGACUUCAUGCACAGGAUUUCAACCCGUGUCUGUGAUUAGUGGUGAAAUGAAAUUCACAGUUUGGAAUAAUUUAUCCAGCAUACCCAAUCAAACACAAACAUCCUUUGUGCUUGAAAAUGAAUCAGGGCUGGAGGCAGCUAGCCUGCUGCAGGGGUUUGUGAUAGAUUAAUGAGCUGAGAACAAGCUGCCACCUCCACCCCCAUCAUCAGUGACUUUCCAGUCUGAGGAGAGGGGCGCUGAGCUGGAGGUGAAGGAUAUACUCUCUGAUAAGUGUUGCAGUGGGAGGUGAGAAAUAAGAGCUUCAAGUGGAGGAGGAGGGGAGGAAAAAAGACUGUCCUCUGUUAAGCAGGGUACAGUUUAGACAGAGCAGCUGCCUGACAGGCUUGUGGCAGGAGGGGCAGGGCAGGAGCAGCCCUGUGCUUGCAGCACCUGUUAUUGAAUGCUACCUGCAGGUACCAGGGCAGCACAGACCGUGAUUCCCUGACUUCUGCCAGUCACGUGGGAAGGUCAGGGACCUGGGAGAGGAAAGGAGAUGAUGAAACACUGACAAGGUCUGCCCUCAGUGAGAUGCACUAACACCAAUGCAGAAGGGACCAUAUCCCAGAGGCUUCUUGGGCUUAAAGAUGAAAAUAAAAUCUGAAUUUGAUUAUCA
This 1141-nucleotide long non-coding RNA is filed under the name Junco hyemalis (dark-eyed junco). RNAcentral describes it as "lncRNA (ENSJHYG00000000912.1)". Lineage: Eukaryota; Metazoa; Chordata; Aves; Passeriformes; Passerellidae. The record is from RNAcentral.